GACUAAUCAUUGAAAAUGUCAGAAAGGAGGAUUUUGGAAACCACACCUGCUCAGUGAGCAAACAGCAUGAAUACUCUGACUUCAUCAUUCAACUUUCCCGCAUUGCAAGAAUUCUUAUGCCCAGUGAAGAUAAUAAAAAUGGGGUAAAUCCAGCACACACAGUCAUCACUCUGAUCCUCUUCAGCUGCCUGCUGAGCGCUCUGACAGCGCACCUCUGUAGAUGAAGAAGCAGAAGGGCCUUCUGGACGUGAGAAACUGAAUGCGACGCAACUUCAAAUCUCGCUGUUUUGCUCCUGAAAAAUAAAUUCAAAAUGCCUCUGCAAUCUCCACUGUGCUACGCACCUGGGCAACACGGAAAGGUUGUGUUUUUGUUCUUUUUUAAGAAUAAAAAGUGAGUUGUGGAUUUUCAUAGGGGUAGUGGUGAUCUGCCACCACUUGUCAUUAAUGGCCAGUCUGUGGAGAGAGUGGACACCUUCAAGUGUCUUGGCCUGACCAUCUGCCCCUCACUGAAGUGGGAAGUUACUAUCAGCAGGAAGAUAUCAUUGUCAUGAAGAAAGGCCUUCAAAGGCUGGACUCCCUAUAACCACAGUUAAUCAGGAACCAAUGACUCAGUUCUGUAGAAUACUGUAUGUGUUUUGUUCAUUUUGUUGUUUUUAUCUGUGCUGCACUGAUGGCACAUUCCAAAUACUGUAACUUUGGAAUUAGAGAAAUUAAUCAAAAUAAAAGGCUCUAUAAAUUGUCAA
Lepisosteus oculatus (spotted gar) is the source of this 743-nucleotide non-coding RNA. The record is from RefSeq and is a predicted model, not a curated record. Lineage: Eukaryota; Metazoa; Chordata; Actinopteri; Semionotiformes; Lepisosteidae.